GAUGAACGCUGGCGGCGUGCCUAAUACAUGCAAGUCGAGCGAAUAGAUCAGGCUUUUUCUUCUUUUCCGCUACCGGCGGACGGGUGAUUCCCACGUGGCUAACUUACCUAUAAGACUGGCAUACCUUCAGGAAACCUGAUCUCACACCGGAUAACAUGUUGAACCUCAUGGUUCUUUAGUCAUCGCCCUCUUUGCUGUCCCUUAUUGAUGUUACCUCGCCGUAUUAGCUAGUUGGUAAGGUAACGGCUUACCAAGGCAACGAUACGUAGCCGACCUGAGAGGGUGAUCAGCCACACUGGAACUGAGACACGGUCCAGACUCCUACGGGAGGCAGCAGUAGGGAAUCUUCGGCAAUGGGCGAAAGCCUGACGGAGCAACGCCGCGUGAGUGAAGAAGGUCUUCGGAUCGUAAAACUCUGUUAGCAGGGAAGAGCGAAAGUGAAAGUAACUGUGCAUGUCUUGACGGUACCUGAACAGAAAGCAACGGCUAACUACGUG
RNAcentral lists this ribosomal RNA (497 nucleotides) under uncultured bacterium. Its description in RNAcentral is "partial 16S ribosomal RNA". It matches the Rfam family "Bacterial small subunit ribosomal RNA", at positions 28 to 507 of the family's 1533-position model. The record is from RNAcentral.